This 1375-nucleotide long non-coding RNA is filed under the name Monodelphis domestica (gray short-tailed opossum). RNAcentral's name for it is "lncRNA (ENSMODG00000047392.1)". The record is from RNAcentral. Lineage: Eukaryota; Metazoa; Chordata; Mammalia; Didelphimorphia; Didelphidae.
GUUUGAGAUUGUAUUUUUAUAAAAAUCCAAGAAUUUUGUUUAAGAUUUUACUGUUAUAAAAAAUUUUAAAGAUUUUGAUUUUGUUCGAGAAAAGAUCUUCAAGAAAGAAGCUUGAAACUUUUAUAUCCAGAGAAUGAACUGUUGCAGAAAGAUGCCAAAAACCUACACUUCAUCAAGAAGAUCAAGAAUGAACUUUGGAUGUGAUUGAUUGGACUGAACUUUUGAUUGAACAUUUAUUGUAACAUUUAUGCCAAAAGGGACUGCCCCUAAUUUGGCUUUCUGUCAAUGCGCCUAGCAAACAUUGGUUUUGCUUUCUUUUCUUUUCUAUUUCCUCUCUCACUAUUCUAAUCUCUCCUAGAAAAUUGAAUAUUGUGUAUAUCUUUAGUUAGAAGUGAAUUUAGAACUACAAAAUGAUUAUGUUAAAUGAUCAAUGGGGAGACUAGUCUCCCAAUGAUCAUCAGGGGGGAUUGUAAACCUCAAAAUUCCUUAGACUUAUAAAUGUUGGAAAUUUCACCAUUGGGAUAUUUCAUACUUGGAAAAUUUCUUACUGAUAGUCUAUUGGAAUGGGAACUCCAUUGGCAUGGGAGGUUCCUUCUCUUCCCUUCUUAAGAUUACUUUAGGACAGAAACCCUUUGCUGAACAAUGGAAAGGACUUUGACCUAUGCUUGAGCAUAGAACAGGAAUUUCUUUGAGUCUUGAUUGAUUUUAGAAUUGAUACAAUGGAGAUACUCCACCCUAUUCAGUCCUAAUAAGAUUGAGUAAGGGCUGCAGCCUAGAUCAAAAUUUAAUUAUUCCAAUCUCUACCAUACUCAAGUUAACAGGAUUUAGAAAGGGCUGGAACAAAGGAGUAAAGAUUUAAUCAUUUGAAAAUAUGACCUUCAACAGACAUGUGCAAAAGCCAGAAACCUCUGGGCGGUCCUGGGUUAAGCGAGAGCCUCCAUUGACACUUCCUCCCUCUCACUCUCCUAUUCUUUCUUUUCUUUUCUUUUUUCUUUUCUUUUCUUUUCUCUUCUCUUCUUUUCUUUUCUUUCUUUCUUUCUUUCUUUCUUUCUUUCUUUCUUUCUUUCUUUCUUUCUUUCUUUCUUUCUUUCUUUCUUUCUUUCUUUCUUUCUCUCUCUCUUUCUUUCUUUCUCUCUCUCUUUCUUUCUCUCUCUCUCUCUCUCUCUCUCUCUUUCUUUCUUUCUUUCUUUCUUUCUUUCUUUCUUUCUUUCUUUCUUUCUUUCUUUCUUUCUUUCUUUCUUUCUUUCUUUCUUUCUUUCUUUCUUUCUUUCUUUCUUUCUUUCUUUCUUUCUUUCUUUCUUUCUUUCUUUCUUUCUUUCUUUCUUCUUCCUCAGAAUCAAUCCUGAGUAUCAGUUCCAAAGCAGAAGAACAUAAG